Molecule: long non-coding RNA, 290 nt
Filed under: Gallus gallus (chicken)
Lineage: Eukaryota; Metazoa; Chordata; Aves; Galliformes; Phasianidae
Source: RNAcentral
UCUUGACCCAAAGAAUUCCCCAGGAGAUACAACUUAGAAAUACAGAAGACUCUGGCUGGUCAGGAGAACCCACAAAAGCCUCACUCAGAUGUAUUUAAGAAUGGUAGCUGCUGGGUGUGGUGGACACAUGGAUUGUGACACUGCUGAGGAGGAGCUAGCUGAAGGUGCAAACCUGGGAGGGGGCACUUCAUGACAAAUAAGUCCUCAGGAACAUCUCCUGAUCACCAAGAUCUGCCAAAGAUAUGAAUAGCCUCACAGUGACCCCUCCCAGCACCCUCAGCAUUAAUAAG